RNAcentral lists this ribosomal RNA (2105 nucleotides) under Chaetothyriales sp. MP-2014. Its description in RNAcentral is "eukaryotic LSU rRNA". The stretch from base 722 to 2105 matches the Rfam family "Eukaryotic large subunit ribosomal RNA", at positions 1 to 1499 of the family's 3401-position model. Lineage: Eukaryota; Fungi; Ascomycota; Eurotiomycetes; Chaetothyriales. The record is from RNAcentral.
AUGGCUCAGUGAGGCCUUGGGAUUGGCCAGGGGAGAUGGGCGACCAUCACCCCAGGCCGAAAACUUGGUCAAACUUGGUCAUUUAGAGGAAGUAAAAGUCGUAACAAGGUUUCCGUAGGUGAACCUGCGGAAGGAUCAUUACCGAGUUAGGGUCUCCUCCGUGAGGCCCGACCUCCCAACCCUGUGUCUACUCAACUUGUACGUGUUGCUUCGGCGGACCAGCAGUCCCCCGCUUACCGCGGGGAACCGUCGCCGGGGGGGAAAAACGGUCCUCUGUGACCGCCUCUGGAGAGCGUCCGCCGAUGGCCCAACCCAAACAACUCCCAAAUCCAAAUAAUAUUAUACCUAAACGUCUGAAUCAGACCAUUUUGAUACACCAAUCAAAAACAAAACUUUCAACAACGGAUCUCUUGGUUCUGGCAUCGAUGAAGAACGCAGCGAAAUGCGAUAAGUAAUGCGAAUUGCAGAAUUUCCGUGAGUCAUCGAAUCUUUGAACGCACAUUGCGCCCUUUGGCAUUCCGAAGGGCAUGCCUGUUCGAGCGUCAUUAUCCUCUCUCAAACCUCGUGUUUGGUGUUGGGCCGCGUUGGACCACCCGUGGCCAACUGGUCUCAAAGACAAUGACGGCGUCUGAAGGACCCUCUUCGCACUGAGCUUUCUCCGAGGCACGCGUGGAGUUGAAAGGACCCAAGGACCCGGUCACCUCUUAUUUUCUUUUAAGGUUGACCUCGGAUCAGGUAGGAAUACCCGCUGAACUUAAGCAUAUCAAUAAGCGGAGGAAAAGAAACCAACAGGGAUUGCCUCAGUAACGGCGAGUGAAGCGGCAACAGCUCAAAUUUGAAAUCUGGCCUUUACGGUCCGAGUUGUAAUUUGUAGAGGAUGUUUUGGGCACCGCUCCGGGUUAAAUUUCUUGGAACAGAAUGUCAAAGAGGGUGAGAGUCCCGUCUUGGCCCGCGGUAGGACCUAUGUAAAACUCCUUCGACGAGUCGACUUGUUUGGGAAUGCAGGUCCAAAUGGGUGGUAAAUUUCAUCUAAAGCUAAAUAUUGGCCAGAGACCGAUAGCGCACAAGUAGAGUGAUCGAAAGAUGAAAAGCACUUUGAAAAGAGAGUUAAACAGUAUGUGAAAUUGUUGAAAGGGAAGCGCUGGCAACCAGACUCGAGCGCGGUGUUCCCCUUGGCUUCUGCCUUGGUUAUUUCACCGUGACCGGGCCAUCAUCAGUUUUGGGGGUUGGUUAAAGAUCUAGGGAAUGUAUCCUCUCUUUCGGGGGAGGACUUAUAGCCCUGGAUGUCAUGCAGCCUCCCGGGACUGAGGAACGCGCUUCGGCGAGGAUGAUGGCGUAAUGGUUGUCAGCGACCCGUCUUGAAACACGGACCAAGGAGUCUAACAUCUAUGCGAGUGUUCGGGUGUCAAACCCUUGCGCGGAAUGAAAGUGAACGGAGGUAGGAAGGCCUGAGCCUGCACUAUCGACCGAUCCUGAUGUCUUCGGAUGGAUUUGAGUAAGAGCAUAGCUGUUGGGACCCGAAAGAUGGUGAACUAUGCGUGAAUAGGGUGAAGCCAGAGGAAACUCUGGUGGAGGCUCGCAGCGGUUCUGACGUGCAAAUCGAUCGUCAAAUUUGCGUAUAGGGGCGAAAGACUAAUCGAACCAUUGGUAAAUCACUACUAGGUGGUUAAGAGUCAAGUGUGAAAAGCACUGGCUAGUCGUGGGUCCACGGCAAGGUCGUCAAAUUGCGGGAACACCCUAAAGCCUGAGGUACCGCCGAACCGUCCCGAAAGGGCGACCGGCACCACGGAGAGAUUUCGUGGGUAUGGUAACAAUCCAAAGGAUGGUCCAGGUCAAGUCCUGGGCCGCUGUAAUGGGCAAUCCGCAGCCAAGCCUGUUUCCCCCCGUGGUAUGGGGGGAGAUUGGGUGCAGUUCAUCGACUAGAUGUCGACCGGGUUCCGGGUUUGUUCCCACAAGUCCAGGGCCUCAAGAUAUAGUCAGGCCCCCGGGGAGACCCGGGCGAGGGGAUGAAGUAGGGAGGAUUGGCCCCGGUAUCACGUCCACCAGACGUGACGGUCCUGCCUACCCGAAUCCCUUUGGCCGGUUCCAUUGGACCGGUGAUGACA